RNAcentral lists this ribosomal RNA (425 nucleotides) under uncultured bacterium. RNAcentral's name for it is "bacterial SSU rRNA". It matches the Rfam family "Bacterial small subunit ribosomal RNA", at positions 356 to 773 of the family's 1533-position model. The record is from RNAcentral.
AGGGAAUCUUCCGCAAUGGACGAAAGUCUGACGGAGCAACGCCGCGUGAGUGAUGAAGGCCUUCGGGUCGUAAAACUCUGUUGCUAGGGAAGAACAAGUAUCGGAGUAACUGCCGGUACCUUGACGGUACCUAACCAGAAAGCCACGGCUAACUACGUGCCAGCAGCCGCGGUAAUACGUAGGUGGCAAGCGUUGUCCGGAAUUAUUGGGCGUAAAGCGCGCGCAGGCGGUCCCUUAAGUCUGAUGUGAAAGCCCACGGCUCAACCGUGGAGGGUCAUUGGAAACUGGGGGACUUGAGUACAGAAGAGGAAAGCGGAAUUCCACGUGUAGCGGUGAAAUGCGUAGAGAUGUGGAGGAACACCAGUGGCGAAGGCGGCUUUCUGGUCUGUAACUGACACUGAGGCUCGAAAGCGUGGGGAGCAAAC